CUGCUCAUUCAGCAGCACAUAUACUAAAAAUGGAACAAUACAGAGAUUAGCAUGGUCCCUAUGCAAUGAUGACACGCAAAUUCAUGAUGCAUUCCAUAUACAA
Molecule: small nuclear RNA, 103 nt
Organism: Talpa occidentalis (Iberian mole)
Lineage: Eukaryota; Metazoa; Chordata; Mammalia; Eulipotyphla; Talpidae
Source: RefSeq, a predicted model, not a curated record